UACGGAGGGGGCUAGCGUUGUUCGGAAUUACUGGGCGUAAAGCGCACGUAGGCGGCUUUGUAAGUUAGAGGUGAAAGCCUGGAGCUUAACUCCAGAACUGCCUUUAAGACUGCAUCGCUUGAAUCCGUGAGAGGUGAGUGGAAUUCCGAGUGUAGAGGUGAAAUUCGUAGAUAUUCGGAAGAACACCAGUGGCGAAGGCGGCUCACUGGACCGGUAUUGACGCUGAGGUGCGAAAGCGUGGGGAGCAAACAGG
This 253-nucleotide ribosomal RNA is filed under the name uncultured bacterium. RNAcentral's name for it is "partial 16S ribosomal RNA". It matches the Rfam family "Bacterial small subunit ribosomal RNA", at positions 524 to 776 of the family's 1533-position model. The record is from RNAcentral.